CAACAAUCUCAUCUCACAGCAGACGACGGACAUCUGAAACCAGUGUGAGAACAAUGGACAGCAAGAUCACUACAGCGGACGGUACCAUUGUCAGCACUGGAGCGAAGGCUCAAGGAGACGCAGCACCCAACCCAUCUCAUGGGGAUGUCGCAGGACAAGAAAAGAUGUCCAACCUUAAAGGUGGAGUGAAAGGCAACGUAGUUCAUGGCGAUCAGAAAAUUAUCUCUAAUGUUAACAUGGGAGCAGUUUCAGGGGAUGCUAACAUCGGCUGAGGACAUUGCUGCCCUGCAGAUGAAAAAACAACAACUAUUUGUUUCAUUGUCAGAUAUUUGAAAUGUCCUUAAACACAGUAUUGUAAAAAAAGUUCAAUUCCAAAAAUAAAGUCUAC
Molecule: long non-coding RNA, 388 nt
Organism: Scomber scombrus (Atlantic mackerel)
Lineage: Eukaryota; Metazoa; Chordata; Actinopteri; Scombriformes; Scombridae
Exons: 5
Source: RefSeq, a predicted model, not a curated record